GUUUUUCCGUAGGCGGGAACCGAGCUGAUUUAUUUUCUGGUUAUGAAUCUACAAAUAGCGUCCAUAACCGUUAUCAAUCAGCUCUGGUCUCGUUUGGAACA
This 101-nucleotide microRNA precursor is filed under the name Caenorhabditis brenneri. RNAcentral's name for it is "pre miRNA CBN34127". The stretch from base 23 to 85 matches the Rfam family "mir-35_2 microRNA precursor family". The record is from RNAcentral. Lineage: Eukaryota; Metazoa; Nematoda; Chromadorea; Rhabditida; Rhabditidae.